Molecule: long non-coding RNA, 1250 nt
Organism: Nasonia vitripennis (jewel wasp)
Lineage: Eukaryota; Metazoa; Arthropoda; Insecta; Hymenoptera; Pteromalidae
Exons: 3
Source: RefSeq, a predicted model, not a curated record
AGUGUACUGCGCACGUAACGAUCGUUGCUUCGCGUAUAUAAAUAAGCGUAAGAGAUAUUGAUAACCUCGUUACGGUGCGCCGCCGAUAUUUUCGUACAGCCGCACCGGAUCUGUAUAUAAGUACUUGUAAGCAUUUUGGCAUCUUGUGUAACGUAUACAUAUAAUAACGUUCAAGCAUUCAAGUUACGAAGCUGCGGAAUUCUCGUAUGGUACGUGAAAAUUUGUAAAUGCACAUCGGGCGGCUCGAUCGAAGUAUAAACAUUGCAGAGACGACGAUUGAAAGUCAAAGUGGCUCGAGGAAAAGAAGUCGCUAAAGUGGGUUUGUAAGUAUAUACAAAUUAUGCAGGUUUCUUGGUGGUGACAAGAGAGAUGGAAAAUUUGAAUUGUGUCAAAAGUAUAGGUUUGGGGUUUAUGUAAAUAAAGGAUAUUGAACUUGUUAUGGCUAUAUCUUUUUUUAUUGAUUGGUAAAUAACUAAAAAGGUAGAUCUUGAUGAUCUAAUGAUAAAAGAAAUUAGUGUAACGCGAGAAUGAUAAAAAUCUUUAAAUCAUUUGUAUGUUACAGCAACUGCAGACUUCCGUCUUCAUUUAUGACUAAAAAUUAGCAUUAGAUUCAAAUUAAGACAAAAAAGGUCGUUCUUUUUAAAUUGAAUGUAUGCAAUUCGUUUAUUCCCAUUGAACAAAACGACUCAAGACGUUUAAAAGUCACUCAACAAAAGUAACAAUGCUACCAUAAAUAGCUUUAUCUAUUUGUAAAAAAACUACUGGUAUAAUUAUCUUUAUUACUUCAACAGUAUAAAGAACUAUGUCUAUAGAUUCGUUACAAAAAAUAGUCUUUGAAUGAGUCAGCUUUAAAAUAGCUCUUUUUCUCUAAGCAGUAAAAUAAAAAAAUAACUUUAUCAAUAAGCUAAUAUCACAGUUGUCAGGUACUCUCGAUUGGCGGAUAAUCCGUGGAUCGUUCCUGAAAAUGAAAAAGAUAUCGAAUUAAAGUGAGAGCGGAGUCUGGAUAAUGCAUGGAUCAUGGGAGUCUCGUCGUUGUAUGAGAAGUAUUAAAAAGUGAUGUAAAAAAUAAACCCUCGAGUAAAUGCUUGUAUACAGUUUGUAUUUGAUUCUGUAUCUGUUGCGUAUAUCAUUUCGUGACGGCAGAGUCACUGUUACAGUCAUAGAAAAGCCGUAUCUCGCUCUUCCUCAAGUCGCUCGGAUUAGAUUUGUAUUAGAUUAUAUAGAUCCAUCGGUUUCUGUUUUGUUUAUAA